This 403-nucleotide ribosomal RNA is filed under the name uncultured bacterium. Its description in RNAcentral is "bacterial SSU rRNA". It matches the Rfam family "Bacterial small subunit ribosomal RNA", at positions 355 to 775 of the family's 1533-position model. The record is from RNAcentral.
UAGGGAAUAUUGGUAAUGGGCGAAAGCCCGAACCAGCAACGCCGCGUGCGCGAUGAAGGCCUUCGGGUUGUAAAGCGCUUUUUAAGGGGAUGAGGAAGGACAGUACUCUUAGAAUAAGCCUCGGCUAACUACGUGCCAGUAGCCGCGGUAAAACGUAGGAGGCGAGCGUUAUCCGGCUUUACUGGGCGUAAAGCGUGUGUAGGCGGUUUGAUAAGUUGGAUGUGAAAGCUCCCGGCUCAACUCGGAGAGGUCGUUCAAAACUAUCAGACUUGAGAGUGGUAGAGGGAGGUGGAAUUCCGCGUGUAGGGGUGAAAUGCGUAGAUAUGCGGAGGAACACCAGUGGCGAAAUCGGCCUCCUGGCCCAUUUCUGACGCUCGGACACGAAAGCUAAGGUAGCAAACGG